UCCAGCACGAUCCCACACAGACCCUUCCUUCAUGGCUUUUCUGUAUACUACAUGUUGUCAGGCGAAUUGAUGAAUAUCAGCUACGUAGAAUGAUGUUCUUCUCUGAGACCGCCUUGCUGCCUUUGCUGACAAUGCCAGCUGCCCUUGAAAUCCACAGAGUCAGCACAAAUAAGGGAAUUACAGGAUUUAAUGCAAAAAAAUCUGUAGCAAAGUGUAGUCAGAGCUGCUCACAUGGAUAUGAUAUGAGUGCUUGGAUCCCAUUUUGUGGACUUUUAAUUGUGAAGGGUUGAGUUCUUCCCAAAUUCUGGAGACUCGGAAUUCAAGGAUGGUAAAGGAAAAGACAACAGGGAGGGAGAGAUCAGAACAGAAGGUAUUAUAUUUCCAGAGGAUGUUUACAGAAAGAGCAGGAACCUGGGAUGCGGUAGCCUCCAACCUGUAAUGAGGGAUAGUUUCAUGGGCAGAUUUUCAAGCAUCCAGACAGAAGCAAAAUGAAACACACGUAUGCUAUGAGCAUACGGCUUAUUGCCACAAACAGAACCUAUGAGAAACCGGAGGAGGGCUGCUGGAGCAAAGUACCACGAACUGGGUGGCUUGAAACAAUAGAAGCUGAUGGUCUCAUAGUUCUGGAGGCUACAUGCUUGCAGUCAAGGUGCUGCAAGGACCGUACUCCCUCUGACACCUAUUCUGGUCCUUGCCCAUGUGUGUUCCUAGAGAACCAAACGAAUUAUGGACUCACCAUCUAAGAUGAUAAGGAACUUGCUGGAAGCCACAGAACUAAAUAGCGGCAGAGGUGGAAGUGGAACUCAGGUGUCUAUGACUCCACACCCAUUCCUGUGAGGCCAUAAUACCUGGUGAAUCACCAUACCUCCUUCCUCUUGUUUCAUAGGUGAGUGAACCAAAGUCCAGUGGACUAAGCCGCUGGCCUAAGGCACGUAGCCUUUCUUGGCAGAGCUGAGUGGACAGCACAGGCCCCUGUCUGGAAGGCCACAGCUGGUGUCCUUCACGGUACUGACUCAUCUUUCAGACGAUGAUGCAAUUUAAUGAGAAAACAUUAUUCAAGGUGUACAAACUGGAUCGGGGCCAUUAUUCAA
Hyaena hyaena (striped hyena) is the source of this 1091-nucleotide long non-coding RNA. RefSeq lists it as uncharacterized. Lineage: Eukaryota; Metazoa; Chordata; Mammalia; Carnivora; Hyaenidae. The record is from RefSeq and is a predicted model, not a curated record. The transcript is spliced from 5 exons.